GACGAACGCUGGCGGCGUGCUUAACACAUGCAAGUCGAACGGAAAGGCCCUGCUUUUGUGGGGUGCUCGAGUGGCGAACGGGUGAGUAACACGUGAGUAACCUGCCCUUGACUUUGGGAUAACUUCAGGAAACUGGGGCUAAUACCGGAUAGGAGCUCCUGCUGCAUGGUGGGGGUUGGAAAGUUUCGGCGGUUGGGGAUGGACUCGCGGCUUAUCAGCUUGUUGGUGGGGUAGUGGCUUACCAAGGCUUUGACGGGUAGCCGGCCUGAGAGGGUGACCGGCCAAUUGGGGAAGGAGAGCCGCCCAAGCUCCGUCGGGGGGGAAGAGGGGGGGAUUAUUGAAAAGGGGGGGGAAGCCUGAUGCAGAAACCCCGGGGGGGGGAUGCGGCCCUUGGGUUUGAAACCCGUUUUCCCCGGGGACGAAGGGUGAGGGAGGGGAAGGGGAAAAGAAGCACCGGAAACCUACGU
RNAcentral lists this ribosomal RNA (467 nucleotides) under uncultured bacterium. RNAcentral describes it as "partial 16S ribosomal RNA". It matches the Rfam family "Bacterial small subunit ribosomal RNA", at positions 28 to 506 of the family's 1533-position model. The record is from RNAcentral.